GGGGAAUCUUCCGCAAUGGACGAAAGUCUGACGGAGCAACGCCGCGUGAGUGAUGACGGCCUUCGGGUUGUAAAGCUCUGUUAAUCGGGACGAAAGGCCUUCUUGCGAAUAGUGAGAAGGAUUGACGGUACCGGAAUAGAAAGCCACGGCUAACUACGUGCCAGCAGCCGCGGUAAUACGUAGGUGGCAAGCAUUGUCCGGAAUUAUUGGGCGUAAAGCGCGCGCAGGCGGAUCAGUCAGUCUGUCUUAAAAGUUCGGGGCUUAACCCCGUGAGGGGAUGGAAACUGCUGAUCUAGAGUAUCGGAGAGGAAAGUGGAAUUCCUAGUGUAGCGGUGAAAUGCGUAGAUAUUAGGAAGAACACCAGUGGCGAAGGCGACUUUCUGGACGAAAACUGACGCUGAGGCGCGAAAGCCAGGGGAGCGAACGGGAUUAGAUACCCCGGUAGUCCUGGCCGUAAACGAUGGGUACUAGGUGUAGGAGGUAUCGACCCCUUCUGUGCCGGAGUUAACGCAAUAAGUACCCCGCCUGGGGAGUACGACCGCAAGGUUG
This 549-nucleotide ribosomal RNA is filed under the name uncultured bacterium. RNAcentral's name for it is "bacterial SSU rRNA". It matches the Rfam family "Bacterial small subunit ribosomal RNA", at positions 356 to 896 of the family's 1533-position model. The record is from RNAcentral.